This 26-nucleotide non-coding RNA is filed under the name Mus musculus (house mouse). The record is from RNAcentral. Lineage: Eukaryota; Metazoa; Chordata; Mammalia; Rodentia; Muridae.
UACCAGCUCGACAUGACAUUCAAAUU